Molecule: long non-coding RNA, 484 nt
Organism: Ziziphus jujuba (common jujube)
Lineage: Eukaryota; Viridiplantae; Streptophyta; Magnoliopsida; Rosales; Rhamnaceae
Exons: 3
Source: RefSeq, a predicted model, not a curated record
AAAAAAAAACAGAACAUGAAACUGCAGAGAAGAGAAGCUCCCGCACCUCCAGCUCCAGAUCCAGAAUCCCUAAACCAGCAGCAGCUCAAGCUCACUCUCGUUCUUCUCUGCCGCCAGCGUGCUCCUCUCUGUCGCCCAACACCUCCAGCAGCCACCCCGCACCUCCAGCAACACAGCCGCUUUCAGUGGCAGGUAACCUGGACUUUGAUGAUAUGUCAACAUCCAGUAUAAAUGAAAGUGCUUGGCAACAAAAGUGUGCUUAUGGUGGUUAUAUGAAACUGCAGAUAUCUCGUUCCGAAAAAAAUCCAAAUAGAAAAUUUUGGAAAUGCUAUAAUAAUAAGGAUGGUAAAUAUUGUGGAAAGUUUGUAUGGGAUGAUGAAAUACAUCGUACACAUGGAAACAUGAACAAAACGGCGACAGAAAUGUUGAUUAAUGAAAUGGUUAGUCUAAAUAAUAAUGUAAGGGAGUUGAAUUAUACUGCCAA